This 367-nucleotide ribosomal RNA is filed under the name Chaetodon ulietensis (Pacific double-saddle butterflyfish). Its description in RNAcentral is "partial 12S ribosomal RNA". It matches the Rfam family "Bacterial small subunit ribosomal RNA", at positions 803 to 1372 of the family's 1533-position model. Lineage: Eukaryota; Metazoa; Chordata; Actinopteri; Chaetodontiformes; Chaetodontidae. The record is from RNAcentral.
UAAACAUUGACAGUUAAUUACACCCACUGUCCGCCUGGGAACUACGAGCGCCAGCUUAAAACCCAAAGGACUUGGCGGUGCUUUAGACCCACCUAGAGGAGCCUGUUCUAGAACCGAUAAUCCCCGUUAAACCUCACCCUUCCUUGUCAUUUCCGCCUAUAUACCACCGUCGUCAGCUUACCCUGUGAAGGCCCAAUAGUAAGCGCAAUCGGCAAUGCCCAAAACGUCAGGUCGAGGUGUAGCGAAUGGAAGGGGAAGAAAUGGGCUACAUUUACUAACACAGUAAAUACGGAUGAUUACCCUGCAACGAGUAUCUGAAGGAGGAUUUAGCAGUAAGCAAAAAGCAGAGUGUUUUGCUGAAAUUGGC